Molecule: small nucleolar RNA, 101 nt
Organism: Macaca mulatta (Rhesus monkey)
Lineage: Eukaryota; Metazoa; Chordata; Mammalia; Primates; Cercopithecidae
Source: Ensembl
AUCCUUUGUGUUUCCUAAGUGUGAUGAUUGAGUUUUCAUACUCAUGUGCAGUGUGCCUCCUUUAAGCCUCAUUAUGACAUGAGCAUAUUACCCAUCUGACG